GAUGAACGCUGGCGGCGUGCCUAAUACAUGCAAGUCGAGCGAACAGACGAGGAGCUUGCUCCUCUGACGUUAGCGGCGGACGGGUGAGUAACACGUGGAUAACCUACCUAUAAGACUGGGAUAACUUCGGGAAACCGGAGCUAAUACCGGAUAAUAUAUUGAACCGCAUGGUUCAAUAGUGAAAGACGGUUUUGCUGUCACUUAUAGAUGGAUCCGCGCGGCAUUAGCUAGUUGGUAAGGUAACGGCUUACCAAGGCAACCAUGCGUAGCCGACCUGAGAGGGGGAGCGGCGACACUGGGAGUGAGAGACGGUACAGACUCCUACGGGAGGCAGAAGUAGGGAAUCUUCGGAAAUGGGCGAAAGCUUGACGGAGCAACGCCGCGUGAGUGAUGAAGGUCUUCGGAUCGUAAAACUCUGUUAUUAGGGAAGAACAAUUGUGUAAGUAACUAUGCACGUCUUGACGGUACCUAAUCAGAAAGCCACGGCUAACUACGUG
RNAcentral lists this ribosomal RNA (497 nucleotides) under uncultured bacterium. RNAcentral describes it as "partial 16S ribosomal RNA". It matches the Rfam family "Bacterial small subunit ribosomal RNA", at positions 28 to 507 of the family's 1533-position model. The record is from RNAcentral.